RNAcentral lists this ribosomal RNA (285 nucleotides) under Escherichia coli. Its description in RNAcentral is "partial 23S ribosomal RNA". It matches the Rfam family "Bacterial large subunit ribosomal RNA", at positions 2663 to 2925 of the family's 2925-position model. Lineage: Bacteria; Pseudomonadati; Pseudomonadota; Gammaproteobacteria; Enterobacterales; Enterobacteriaceae. The record is from RNAcentral. RNAcentral also lists the same sequence under 2 other names.
UGAGGGGGGCUGCUCCUAGUACGAGAGGACCGGAGUGGACGCAUCACUGGUGUUCGGGUUGUCAUGCCAAUGGCACUGCCCGGUAGCUAAAUGCGGAAGAGAUAAGUGCUGAAAGCAUCUAAGCACGAAACUUGCCCCGAGAUGAGUUCUCCCUGACUCCUUGAGAGUCCUGAAGGAACGUUGAAGACGACGACGUUGAUAGGCCGGGUGUGUAAGCGCAGCGAUGCGUUGAGCUAACCGGUACUAAUGAACCGUGAGGCUUAACCUUACAACGCCGAAGCUGUU